UUGCAGAUGAUAACAAAACUGAAAAAUAAAACCUACAAAAGGAAUUAUUUUUUUGCUUAAUAGUUUUACAUACAAGUUUUAACAACAAAACAACUACAACAAUUUUGUUCUUCUUGAGCAUAGAUCAAACAAAUGAAGAGCCAGCCAAAACUUGACAAAACUUGAGGACAGAACAAAAAGUUGCAGAUGAAGUAAUGAGCAGAGAAUUAAAGAGAGGUUGGGGAGGGGUGCUUCCGUAAAUCCACGAGUUUAAUGCAAGUUGCGCGUUGAACUGCGACUUGCUUGGCUAAGCCACCUCACAUGCCAGCUUUCUCAAACGGCAGAAAUUCUGUAAGUCAAUCACAUCCCGACAGCUCACAAGUCGUGAGCUUAAUUCACGACUUCGCUAUGGCUUGCACAGUGUGUUAAGUUUGGUUAAUGCUUUGACUAAAGUCGCCAUUCAAAGAUGUGAUUCCGUCUAGACUUGUCCUUCGCGGAAAAAUUCACGCCAAUAUAAGUCGGUAAAAGUACUAUAAAUAUGAUCUAUCUCUAAAUUACGUGUAUAUUUAUUUUUAAGAAAAAAAAAUUUCAACUCAACUGAUCCACCUUUUUAAAAAAAAGCCCGAGCUGGUGGAUUAUACAUCGGUGAUAGGAUGAAUUGCAUAUUGAUCUUCUUACGAUCUUCUUAAGAGAGAAAAAGAAUUUAAUGAAUAAAAAUAUAGAGACUAAUAUGUAAAUUUUGCAUUCAUAUGCAUUCAAGUAAGGAUUAUUAUAUAGAUUUACUAAAAUGUCAAUUACUAACUAUAUGAAUUUUAUAAAUAUGUAGACUAAUCUUUAAAUUUCAGUAAACUUUUGGAACUGAAUUGUCACUAACCCUAGCCACGUCUUUCUCCUGUUUGCUAGCAACACUCAAGUACCUCUUUAUCAAAAAAAAAUAAUAAUAAUAAUA
Molecule: unclassified non-coding RNA, 928 nt
Filed under: Hevea brasiliensis (rubber tree)
Lineage: Eukaryota; Viridiplantae; Streptophyta; Magnoliopsida; Malpighiales; Euphorbiaceae
Source: RNAcentral